This 453-nucleotide ribosomal RNA is filed under the name uncultured bacterium. RNAcentral describes it as "bacterial SSU rRNA". It matches the Rfam family "Bacterial small subunit ribosomal RNA", at positions 29 to 523 of the family's 1533-position model. The record is from RNAcentral.
AACGAACGCUGGCGGCAGGCCUAACACAUGCAAGUCGAACGCCCUAGCAAUAGGGAGUGGCGCACGGGCGCGUAACGCGUGGGAAUAUGCCCUUCACUGCGGAAUAACGUUUGGAAACGAACGCUAAUACCGCAUAAUGACUCCGGUCCAAAGAUUUAUCGGUGAAGGAUUAGCCCCGCGUUAGAUUAGCUAGUUGGUGAGGUAAUGGCUCACCAAGGCGACGAUCUAUAGCUGGUCUGAGAGGAUGAUCAGCCACACUGGGACUGAGACACGGCCCAGACUCCUACGGGAGGCAGCAGUGAGGAAUAUUGGACAAUGGGCGCAAGCCUGAUCCAGCCAUGCCGCGUGAGUGAAGAAGGCCUUCGGGUUGUAAAGACUCUUUCUAGAUGUGAAGAUAAUGACGGUAGCAUCAGAAGAAGCCCCGGCUAAAUUACGUGCCAGCAGCCGCGGUAA